CCCAGUUGCAAGACAGUGCUGGUGGCUACCAGCAGAGGCCAAAUUCAGCUGGGUGUCUCAGAAGCAUCAGGGCAGCCCCUUUUAGCUCUUAGCUCAGUUCAUGACACAGCCUGCACUUUAGAGAGAUUCCUUUGCACUUUGAGAAGCAACUACUGAACACAGCAGCAGCAUUCACCUCUUUAAUUGAUGUUUCAAAGAAGAGAAAUGCAUCAUCAGUUUUCCUCUUGUGAAGCUCCCGAGAAAAGAAGAAUUUCCUAAAUCCUGAAGCAAAGAAGCAUAAACUAGUGAGUGCAAAGGCAGAAAAAAGCAGUAACAUUCUGGAGAUAAAAUGUAAAGUGAAAUGAUAUUGUACCUCUACUUUGGAGGGGAUUAUUUUUUUUCUCCUAGAACCAACAACCAAACACCUGAAAAGAGUGAGAAGUUCUGCUAUUCUGAUGUUUCUCCUUUGCAAAGUCAAAAAAGAUCCCUACACAUUUUUUGAAAAUAAGAAGGCCUGUGAAAAUUCUGAAGUGUCUGAUUCAUGCGAGAAUUGACAAAGUGAGACAUUCAGAUUGUUUCAUAGAUACUGCAGUUGCUCAUGAACUGUAGGUGGCUUUUCAUCAGCUUCA
Molecule: long non-coding RNA, 608 nt
Organism: Lagopus muta (rock ptarmigan)
Lineage: Eukaryota; Metazoa; Chordata; Aves; Galliformes; Phasianidae
Exons: 3
Source: RefSeq, a predicted model, not a curated record